CGGGGGAGCAAGCGUUGUUCGGAUUUACUGGGCGUAAAGGGCGCGUAGGCGGCCACCGCAAGUCGACUGUGAAAUCUCCGGGCUUAACCCGGAAAGGUCAGCCGAUACUGCGGGGCUAGAGUGCAGAAGGGGCAACUGGAAUUCUCGGUGUAGCGGUGAAAUGCGUAGAUAUCGAGAGGAACACCUGCGGCGAAGGCGGGUUGCUGGGCUGACACUGACGCUGAGGCGCGAAAGCUAGGGGAGCGAACGGGAUUAGAUACCCCGGUAGUCCUAGCCUUAAACGAUGAAUGCUUGGUGUCUGGGGUUUUAUAGUCCCCGGGUGCCGUCGCUAACGCUUUAAGUCAUUCCGCCUGGGGAGUACGGUCGCAAGACUG
Molecule: ribosomal RNA, 374 nt
Filed under: uncultured organism
Description: bacterial SSU rRNA
Rfam family: Bacterial small subunit ribosomal RNA
Source: RNAcentral